UCCGGUUGAUCCUGCCGGACCCGACUGCUAUCAGAGUGGGACUAAGCCAUGCGAGUCAACGCAGCAAUGCGUGGCAUACGGCUCAGUAACACGUAGUCAACAUGCCCAGGGGACGUGGAUAACCUCGGGAAACUGAGGAUAAACCGCGAUAGGCCAAGGUUUCUGGAAUGGAUCAUGGCUGAAACCUAUAUGGCCCCUGGAUUGGACUGCGGCCGAUCAGGCUGUUGGUGAGGUAAUGGCCCACCAAACCUGUAACCGGUACGGGCUCUGAGAGGAGGAGCCCGGAGAUGGGCACUGAGACAAGGGCCCAGGCCCUAUGGGGCGCAGCAGGCGCGAAACCUCUGCAAUAGGCGAAGGCUUGACAGGGUUACUCUGAGUGAUGUCCGCUAAGGGCAUCUUUUGGCACUUCUAAAAAUAGUGUAGAAUAAGGGGUGGGCAAGUCUGGUGUCAGCCGCCGCGGUAAUACCAGCACCCCGAGUGGUCGGGACGAUUAUUGGGCCUAAAGCAUCCGUAGCCGGUUCUGCAAGUCUUCCGUUAAAUCCACCUGCUCAACAGAUGGGCUGCGGAGGAUACUACAGGGCUAGGAGGCGGGAGAGGCAAGCGGUACUCAGUGGGUAGGGGUAAAAUCCUCUGAUCCACUGAAGACCACCAGUGGCGAAGGCGGCUUGCCAGAACGCGCUCGACGGUGAGGGAUGAAAGCUGGGGGAGCAAACCGGAUUAGAUACCCGGGUAGUCCCAGCUGUAAACGAUGCAGACUCGGUGAUGGGUUGGCUUCGAGCCAACCCAGUGCCGCAGGGAAGCCGUUAAGUCUGCCGCCUGGGGAGUACGGUCGCAAGACUGAAACUUAAAGGAAUUGGCGGGGGAGCACCACAAGGGGUGAAGCCUGCGGUUCAAUUGGAGUCAACGCCGGAAAUCUUACCGGGAGCGACAGCAGAGUGAAGGUCAAGCUGAAGACUUUACCAGACAAGCUGAGAGGUGGUGCAUGGCC
This 988-nucleotide ribosomal RNA is filed under the name uncultured archaeon. RNAcentral's name for it is "bacterial SSU rRNA". It matches the Rfam family "Archaeal small subunit ribosomal RNA", at positions 1 to 999 of the family's 1478-position model. The record is from RNAcentral.